GUACACUGAGAGGCCGUAGUGUUGCGGCGGGGACACAGCUGGUCCUGAGAAGGCAUCAUACUCAGACAAGCCUGCAAGAUUGCAUUCAUUCCUGUUGGUGAGUCCUAAGCUUUAGA
RNAcentral lists this long non-coding RNA (116 nucleotides) under Canis lupus familiaris (dog). RNAcentral describes it as "lncRNA (ENSCAFG00030023987.1)". Lineage: Eukaryota; Metazoa; Chordata; Mammalia; Carnivora; Canidae. The record is from RNAcentral.